UAAGGGCCAUAGGUGGAUGCCUUGGCUGGUAGAGGCGAUGAAGGACGUACUAGGCUGCGAUAAGCCUCGGGGAGCCGCCAAGAGGCUUUGAUCCGGGGAUUUCCGAAUGGGGCAACCCACUGUAUCGAGAGGUACAGUACCCUUAGGGGGGCGAACUCAGGGAAGUGAAACAUCUCAGUACCUGAAGGAAGAGAAAUCAAACGAGAUUCCCAAAGUAGCGGCGAGCGAAAUGGGAUUAGGACAAACCGAUGGCUUGCCAUCGGGGUUGCGGACUGCAGAGUGCAUUCUAAGUCGAUAGAUGAACCAGCUGGAAAGUUGGGCCAUAGAGGGUGAUAGCCCCGUAAUCGAAAUUGACGAAGAGCCAGCAGGAUCCAGAGUAGGUCGGGACACGUGUUAUCUUGACUGAAGCUGGGGGGACCACCCUCCAAUCCUAAAUACUACUACCAGACCGAUAGCGAACCAGUACCGUAAGGGAAAGGUGAAAAGAACCGCGGUGAGCGGAGUGAAAUAGAACCUGAAACCUAUGGCUUACAAUCAUUCAGAGCGGGAUUGUGCACCUUAUAGAGCGGUGCACAUUGUUGAGACGAGGACGGAAGUAAUUCCCCCCUCUACGCUAACGCUAAGUUCUCCUCAGCGGAGCACUCAUCGCACUAGUGCGAUUGGGCAUUCUGCCGAAGAAAACCCAGUGUUAACGUAGCUAUUCGGACUUUGUUCGGAUAGCGUAUCCAAUGUGAACCUUUUUAUAAGGUGCACAUCCGUGAUGGACUGCCUUUUGCAUAAUGAGCCUGCGAGUUGUGGUGUCUGGCAAGGUUAAGCAAACGCGAAGCCGUAGCGAAAGCGAGUCUUAAUAGGGCGAAUGAGUCAGAUGCUGCAGACCCGAAACUAAGUGAUCUAUCCAUGAGCAGGUUGAAGCUGGUGUAAGAGCCAGUGGAGGACCGAACCGACGGCUGUUGAAAAAGCUCCGGAUGACUUGUGGAUAGGGGUGAAAGGCCAAUCAAACUUAGUGAUAGCUGGUUCUCUCCGAAAUAUAUUUAGGUAUAGCCUCAGGUCGUAACAUGUAGGGGUAGAGCACUGACAGGGCUAGGGCUGCUCACCGCGGUACCAAACCCUUUCAAACUCCGAAUACUACAUGCGUAAUCCUGGGAGUCAGGCGGUGGGUGAUAAAAUCAAUCGUCAAGAGGGGAACAACCCAGACUAACAGCUAAGGUCCCAAAGUUACAUCUGAGUGGAAAAAGAUGUGGAGUUGCUGAGACAAUCAGGAGGUUGGCUUAGAAGCAGCCAUCCUUUAAAGAAAGCGUAACAGCUCACUGAUCUAGCGAUUCUGCGCUGAAAAUAUAACGGGGCUAAGAUGUACACCGAAGCUUUAGGUUAAGUUAUUAUUUAGUACGCCAUUGGAACAGAGUCCCAAUAGCUACGUUAACACUGUGUUCGCUUCAGCAGCGGGCUCACGCGACUAGUCGCUUAAUCGCACU
This 1472-nucleotide ribosomal RNA is filed under the name Campylobacterales bacterium. Its description in RNAcentral is "partial 23S ribosomal RNA". It matches the Rfam family "Bacterial large subunit ribosomal RNA", at positions 12 to 1222 of the family's 2925-position model. The record is from RNAcentral. Lineage: Bacteria; Pseudomonadati; Campylobacterota; Epsilonproteobacteria; Campylobacterales.